GAGACACGGUCCAAACUCCUACGGGAGGCAGCAGUGAGGAAUAUUGGUCAAUGGGCGCAGGCCUGAACCAGCCAAGUAGCGUGAAGGAUGACUGCCCUAUGGGUUGUAAACUUCUUUUAUAUGGGAAUAAAGUUUUCCACGUGUGGAAUUUUGUAUGUACCAUAUGAAUAAGGAUCGGCUAACUCCGUGCCAGCAGCCGCGGUAAUACGGAGGAUCCGAGCGUUAUCCGGAUUUAUUGGGUUUAAAGGGAGCGUAGGUGGACAGUUAAGUCAGUUGUGAAAGUUUGCGGCUCAACCGUAAAAUUGCAGUUGAUACUGGCUGUCUUGAGUACAGUAGAGGUGGGCGGAAUUCGUGGUGUAGCGGUGAAAUGCUUAGAUAUCACGAAGAACUCCGAUUGCGAAGGCAGCUCACUGGACUGCAACUGACACUGAUGCUCGAAAGUGUGGGUAUCAAACAGGAUUAGAUACCCUGGUAGUCCACACAGUAAACGAUGAAUACUCGCUGUUUGCGAUAUACAGUAAGCGGCCAAGCGAAAGCAUUAAGUAUUCCACCUGGGGAGUACGCCGGCAACGGUGAAACUCAAAGGAAUUGACGGGGGCCCGCACAAGCGGAGGAACAUGUGGUUUAAUUCGAUGAUACGCGAGGAACCUUACCCGGGCUUAAAUUGCAUUUGAAUAUAUUGGAAACAGUAUAGCCGUAAGGCAAAUGUGAAGGUGCUGCAUGGUUGUCGUCAGCUCGUGCCGUGAGGUGUCGGCUUAAGUGCCAUAACGAGCGCAACCCUUAUCUUUAGUUACUAACAGGUCAUGCUGAGGACUCUAGAGAGACUGCCGUCGUAAGAUGUGAGGAAGGUGGGGAUGACGUCAAAUC
Molecule: ribosomal RNA, 867 nt
Filed under: Bacteroides thetaiotaomicron
Lineage: Bacteria; Pseudomonadati; Bacteroidota; Bacteroidia; Bacteroidales; Bacteroidaceae
Description: bacterial SSU rRNA
Rfam family: Bacterial small subunit ribosomal RNA
Source: RNAcentral